RNAcentral lists this ribosomal RNA (479 nucleotides) under uncultured Desulfosarcina sp. RNAcentral describes it as "bacterial SSU rRNA". It matches the Rfam family "Bacterial small subunit ribosomal RNA", at positions 30 to 506 of the family's 1533-position model. Lineage: Bacteria; Pseudomonadati; Thermodesulfobacteriota; Desulfobacteria; Desulfobacterales; Desulfosarcinaceae. The record is from RNAcentral.
UGAACGCUGGCGGCGUGCUUAACACAUGCAAGUCGCACGAGAACGUUUCAGCUUGCUGAAACUAGUAAAGUGGCGUACGGGUGAGUAACGCGUGGGUAAUCUACCUCCGAAUUGGGGAUAACAUUGCGAAAGCGAUGCUAAUACCGAAUGAUAUCUCAAUAACUCCGGUCUUUGAGAUCAAAGGUGGCCUCUCCAUGGAAGCUACUGUUUGGAGAUGAGCCCGCGUACCAUUAGCUUGUUGGUAGGGUAACGGCCUACCAAGGCGACGAUCGGUAGCUGGUUUGAGAGGAUGACCAGCCACACGGGGACUGAGACACGGCCCCGACUCCUACGGGAGGCAGCAGCAAGGAAUAUUGGGCAAUGGGCGAAAGCCUGACCCAGCGACACCGCGUGGGGGAAGAAGGCCCUUGGGUUGUAAACCCCUUUUAUCGGGGAAGAAUAAUGACGGUACCCGAUGAAUAAGCCUCGGCUAACUACGU